Molecule: long non-coding RNA, 561 nt
Filed under: Cebus imitator (Panamanian white-faced capuchin)
Lineage: Eukaryota; Metazoa; Chordata; Mammalia; Primates; Cebidae
Description: lncRNA (ENSCCAG00000038154.1)
Source: RNAcentral
CGAGGCUCCCACCUGCGCUCAGCGCUUGGUAGCUAGGAGGGAAUGGGAGGAUGCUUGCGGGGUAGGGAGGCGAGGGUUGGAAAUUGGCAGAAUGAGAACUGGGGAAACUAGUCUGAGACGCAGCCCUGCUUGUCCCCCUUCUUCAUUCACCCCCAUGUUGAGGGCCUUGGCUUUUGCAUAAUGUGGGAGCUCCUGGAGAGGAGGGUGCUUCCCAGCAGCUCCUGUUCGACCCCCAGCCCCGGGCCAAGGGCACAGAGAGAGAGUGAGACAGAGAGGCUGGGGCUGGGGUGGGGGUGGGGAGGUGGGAGCUGGGGCGGGGCGGGGGGAGCGCGGGGGAGGAAUGAGAGCACCAUAUGACAGGCUUGUGGAACCACAUCUGAUGCCAACUUGGAUGCUGUCCUUUUUCUCCAAUAAAGGAACUUUUCACUUGUUUUUCAGACACCCUUUAAAAAAAUGUAUUUAAAGAGGCUGGUUCCUAUCCAUCCGACUGGAGGCAUCUCAGUGCAAGAGCAAAGCUAAGUCCUGCACAUACACCUCCCCUCCUCCUCCUCCUCCUCCUCC